RNAcentral lists this ribosomal RNA (1068 nucleotides) under Triticum aestivum (bread wheat). RNAcentral's name for it is "partial small subunit ribosomal RNA". The record is from RNAcentral. Lineage: Eukaryota; Viridiplantae; Streptophyta; Magnoliopsida; Poales; Poaceae.
AUGAAGUCUGAUGAAAUCGAUGGGUAUGAUGCCGUUUUCUUGAGCCCUCACAAAUUUGUCGGGGGACCGGGCACACCGGGCAUCCUUCUUAUGAACAAAUCAUUGUAUAAGCUCCAUUCCCAGCCUCCCUCAACGUGCGGAUGCGGCACAGUGGCCUAUGUCAAUGGCUUCAAUGAGGAGGAUACAAUAUACUACGACGAUAUCGAGGAGCGUGAGGAUGCUGGCACACCGCCGAUACUGCAAAAAAUCCGUGCAUCGCUUGCGUUUUGGGUGAAGGAGUAUGUUGGGUAUGACACGAUGGACCUUCGCGAGCGAGUGUUCUCAGAGAUAGCAAUGAAAAGGCUUGUCAAUAAUCCAAAUGUUAGGGUGCUAGGCAACACAAGUGCCCAUCGUAUACCAAUCUUCUCAUUCCUAAUCUACCCAUCAGUAACCGUGAAGAAGCCAUUUGAUGAUUUUGAUGAGCCUGGUUGUGAUAAACAAUUGGAUACGAUGGGGCACAAGCAACUACCCCUCCAUGGUCGUUUUGUGACUAGGCUUUUGAAUGAUCUUUUCGGCAUCCAGUCGAGGGGAGGUUGUGCUUGCGCAGGUCCCUAUGGCCACACAUUGCUCAAUGUCGAGAACGAACGUUCACUUCGCAUUCGGUCCGCUGUCCUUGAGGGUUACAGUGGACUGAAGCCAGGAUGGACCAGAUUGAGCUUUAGUUACUACCUCUCCAAGGAGGAGUUUAAAUUUAUUCUUUCCGCCAUCGAGUUCAUAGCGACAUACGGACACUGCUUCCUCGCUUUGUACAAAUUCGACUGGAUCACUGGCAACUGGACCUUUAGGAAACAGGCAGUCAAGUACCACAUCAUGAGGGAGGAAUUAUCUCUUGGCAUAGUACCAUUGAAACAAAAUAAUGACCAGCCAAAGCUUGCGGAUAUGAUGGAUAAGCCCGUGGUCAAUCAUAAGAAGUUUCAGAGCUACUUAGUGAGUGCCAAUAAAAUUGCACUCUCCAUGUCGGACAUUAGUAAUCAGAUUGCCAGCGUUCCGAAAGGAGUAGACCCUGACUUGGUUCUUUUCCAUAUAUAG